This 254-nucleotide ribosomal RNA is filed under the name uncultured bacterium. RNAcentral describes it as "partial 16S ribosomal RNA". It matches the Rfam family "Bacterial small subunit ribosomal RNA", at positions 524 to 776 of the family's 1533-position model. The record is from RNAcentral.
UACGUAGGGGGCGAGCGUUGUCCGGAUUUAUUGGGCGUAAAGAGCUCGUAGGCGGUGUGUCGCGUCGGCCGUGAAAACCUGCAGCUUAACUGUGGGCUUGCGGUCGAUACGGGCAUCACUGGAGUUCGGCAGGGGAGACUGGAAUUCCUGGUGUAGCGGUGAAAUGCGCAGAUAUCAGGAGGAACACCGGUGGCGAAGGCGGGUCUCUGGGCCGAUACUGACGCUGAGGAGCGAAAGCGUGGGGAGCAAACAGG